RNAcentral lists this ribosomal RNA (229 nucleotides) under uncultured bacterium. Its description in RNAcentral is "partial 16S ribosomal RNA". It matches the Rfam family "Bacterial small subunit ribosomal RNA", at positions 524 to 748 of the family's 1533-position model. The record is from RNAcentral.
UACAGAGGGUGCAAGCGUUGUUCGGAAUUAUUGGGCGUAAAGGGCGCGUAGGCGGGUCGUUUAGUUAGAGGUGAAAGCCCAGGGCUCAACCCUGGAAUUGCCUUUAAUACUGGCGGCCUUGAGUAUGGCAGAGGUGUGUGGAACUCCGAGUGUAGAGGUGAAAUUCGUAGAUAUUCGGAAGAACACCGGUGGUCGAAGGGCGGGUCACUGGGCAUGCUCCUGGACGCUG